CCUACGGGAGGCAGCAGUGGGGAAUAUUGCACAAUGGGGGAAACCCUGAUGCAGCGACGCCGCGUGCGUGAUGACGUAUUUCGGUAUGUAAAGCUCUAUUAGCAGGGAAGAAACUGACGGUACCUGAUUAAGAAGCCCCGGCUAAUUCCGUGCAAGCAGCCGCGGUAAUACGGAGGGGGCAAGCGUUAUCCGGAUUUACUGGGUGUAAAGGGAGCGUAGACGGCAGCACAAGCCUGGAGUGAAAUGCCGGGGCUUAACCCCGGAACUGCUGUGGAAACCGUGCAGCUAGAGUGCAGGAGAGGUAAGUGGAAUUCCUAGUGUAGCGGUGAAAUGCGUAGAUAUUACGAGGAACACCAGUGGCGAAGGCGGCUUACUGGACUGUAACUGACGUUGAGGCUCGAAAGCGCGGGUAUCGAACAGGAUUAGAUACCCGUGUAGUC
RNAcentral lists this ribosomal RNA (440 nucleotides) under uncultured bacterium. RNAcentral describes it as "partial 16S ribosomal RNA". It matches the Rfam family "Bacterial small subunit ribosomal RNA", at positions 338 to 795 of the family's 1533-position model. The record is from RNAcentral.